CACCCACACUUUCCCUGUGCCACCAAAUGCCCAUGGAGCUGUGCGUCUGAAAGGGGAGAAAUGCUGACCAAGGGGUGACCCAUGGGAGACACACACCAGAGUGAUGGAGACCUGCUAAUCAACCAGGGCAUGGGAUAAUCAAGAAAAUGAGAUACACGAAAGCCCCUUGAGGAUGAUGCUAAUGCCAGUGAGGAGGAUGCAGCUGUGAGAAAGACACCUUUCUCAGGGGAGAGUCCAACCCACUGACAGCUAAUGGUUCCAAAGCAAGGAUGUGAGCUGUGGGGUGAACAUAAGGUGAUGGACUCAUGACAUGGAUUUUAGAGGGACUGCAGCCCUGCAGCUACUCCAAGGGAGAGAGACAGGCUGAAUUGGGGAAGGGGGGGGGGCUUGGGGACCACAGGGAGUGGGAUGGGUCUAACAGGAGGCAGGAGGAAUGACAGGGAGCAGCAGGUCUGGGUAGGCAUGUGAUGAGAGAGCUCUGACCACACCUUUCUGUGUCUGCUCAGGAACAACAAGAAGGAAGACAGCUCUGGUUGCAUUGGCAAAGGUAGAAGUUGAAUAUCAAGGAGAGCAUCCCAACUGUGAGCGAGGGCUGGGAAAGCCAGCCAGUGUUAUCUCGGGAAAUGUUACAGAGUCACCUUGAAUACAGCAGAGCUGGUAUUCAAACCCUGGCUUCAGAGUCCAUGCUCCUAACCACGAUGGAAGGACCAUUGAGUCAACAAGGCCAUUCAGAGGAGGCUUCUUGGAAGAGAUGUUGAUCCCCAGAGUCCCUCCCUAUCAACCUCCUGCGUGAUCCUCUCUGUCUCAGAGUCAAUGUCCAGGGGAAUUGGACCUUCACACAGGAAAUCACUGAAGAUCAAGUCUGAUCCAAGUAUUGAGUUAGGAUUCUAGGUGGACAGUCUUAUCCCCAGUCCUAUAAAAAUGUCCCUCUCCUCUCCUCUAGCUUGCAUUGUUUCUGUUGGGAAAUCUACACUUAUCCGUGUCUUUGUUUCCCUGUAUGUAAUGUCUGUUACUCUUCUGGCCACAUUUAAGAUUUUCUCUUUAUCACUGUUUUUAGAGCUAUUUGAUUAUAAUGUGACCUGCCAUAGUUUUUGUUUUGUUUUCAUGUUUCUUGUGCUUGGGGUUUGUAUCUGUGAAUUUAUAGUUUUCAUCAGGUUUGGGAAAAUUUCAGCCAUUAUUUUCUCAAAUAUUUUUUCUGCCUUCUCUUUUUUCCCAGAGACUCCAAUUAGCCUGUUUAUGAGGCCACUUGAGUUUUCCAUAGCUCACUGAUGCUUUGUUCAUUUUUCCCCCAGUCUUUUUUUCUCACUGUGUUUUGUGUGUGUGUGUGUGUUUAAGAUUUUAUUUUUAGGUAAUCCUUACACCCAACAUGGGGCUCAAACUUACAACCCUGAGAUGAAGAGUCACAUGCUCUACCAACUGAGCCAGCCAGGCACCCCUGUUUUGCAUAGUUUCUGCUGCUGUGUAUUCAAGUUCAUUAAUCUUACCUUUUGCAGGUGGUAUUAAUCCCAUUGGAUGUAUUUUUCAUUCUAGUAUACAUCUCUAGAAAUUCAAUCUGGGUCUUUACAAAAUCUUUCAUGUUCAAUUUUCCUUCUAAUUUCUUAAGCAUAUGGAAUAGUUAUAAUAACUAUUUUAAUGUACUUGCCUAUGAAUUUUAUUAUCUGAA
This is a long non-coding RNA of Acinonyx jubatus (cheetah), 1663 nucleotides long. RefSeq lists it as uncharacterized. The record is from RefSeq and is a predicted model, not a curated record. The transcript has 3 exons. NCBI's taxonomy places the organism in Eukaryota, Metazoa, Chordata, Mammalia, Carnivora, Felidae.